RNAcentral lists this ribosomal RNA (480 nucleotides) under uncultured bacterium. RNAcentral's name for it is "partial 16S ribosomal RNA". It matches the Rfam family "Bacterial small subunit ribosomal RNA", at positions 28 to 507 of the family's 1533-position model. The record is from RNAcentral.
GAUGAACGCUAGCGGCAGGCCUAACACAUGCAAGUCGAGGGGUAGAAGGAGCUUGCUCCUUUGAGACCGGCGCACGGGUGCGUAACGCGUAUGCAAUCUACCUUGUACAGGGGAAUAGCCCAGAGAAAUUUGGAUUAAUGCCCCAUAGUAUAUAACCUUCGCAUGUUGGUUAUAUUAAAGUUCCAACGGUACAAGAUGAGCAUGCGUCCCAUUAGUUAGUUGGUAAGGUAACGGCUUACCAAGACGAUGAUGGGUAAGGGUCCUGAGAGGGAGAUCCCCCACACUGGGACUGAGACACGGACCAGACUCAUACGGGAGGCAGCAGUGAGGAAUAUUGGUCAAUGGUCGCAAGACUGAACCAGCCAUGCCGCGUGCAGGAAGACGGUCCUAUGGAUUGUAAACUGCUUUUAUACAGGAAGAAACCCUCCCACGUGUGGGAGCUUGACGGUACUGUAGGAAUAAGGAUCGGCUAACUCCGUG